UACGUAGGGUGCAAGCGUUAAUCGGAAUUACUGGGCGUAAAGCGUGCGCAGGCGGUUUUGUAAGUCUGACGUGAAAUCCCCGGGCUCAACCUGGGAAUUGCGUUGGAGACUGCAAGGCUGGAGUCUGGCAGAGGGGGGUAGAAUUCCACGUGUAGCAGUGAAAUGCGUAGAGAUGUGGAGGAACACCGAUGGCGAAGGCAGCCCCCUGGGUCAAGACUGACGCUCAUGCACGAAAGCGUGGGGAGCAAGCAGG
This 253-nucleotide ribosomal RNA is filed under the name uncultured bacterium. Its description in RNAcentral is "partial 16S ribosomal RNA". It matches the Rfam family "Bacterial small subunit ribosomal RNA", at positions 524 to 776 of the family's 1533-position model. The record is from RNAcentral.